Phascolarctos cinereus (koala) is the source of this 593-nucleotide non-coding RNA. The record is from RefSeq and is a predicted model, not a curated record. NCBI's taxonomy places the organism in Eukaryota, Metazoa, Chordata, Mammalia, Diprotodontia, Phascolarctidae.
GAAAAUGCCAAAUGGGAGUCACAGAGUCAGACUUGACUGAAAACAACUGAACAGCAAAGUGGGAGAUUAGAAAAGGUCUUCAGUAUGAGGUGGCAGGAGAUGAUUUCUAAAGGAAGAAAAGGAAGUGGUACCAUUUCAAGCAGAAGAAAUGCUGACCAGAGCCAGAGGUUGAGAGAAGCAGAGAAAUAAGUAUUUCUGAGGAAUAAAGAACAAAGACGAUGAGGCACUGCAGCUGAGCACUUCCACAUAUCCAAUGAUACCAUUGUGCUGAAAUGAGAUAUAAAUUGCAGUAGCAUCACUUAAUGUGUGACCUUGGAAACAACAAACAGUAAUAUGACAGACCAAGUUUUUAAAAAGCAUCUUUGAGAUCAUCACAGCAUUUGGACAUAGAACUUAGAAAGCUGUUUGGUUCAGGUAGCGACCCCAUCAAAGAGCUGAAGCCUGAAAACCAAAGACAAGUGGAAAGGACUUUACAGAAGUAUAGUUGCUGUCCAAGAUUUCAAAUGUCACAUCAGUAGGAAUAUAAUUCAUUGCAAUAAUCAUGAUGGUGUUGAAUGGAAUGCUUGUAAAUCUAGCCUUCUGAUCAUAAGAGA